RNAcentral lists this ribosomal RNA (497 nucleotides) under uncultured bacterium. RNAcentral's name for it is "partial 16S ribosomal RNA". It matches the Rfam family "Bacterial small subunit ribosomal RNA", at positions 28 to 507 of the family's 1533-position model. The record is from RNAcentral.
GAUGAACGCUGGCGGCGUGCCUAAUACAUGCAAGUCGAACGAAAAGACGAGGAGCUUGCUCCGCUGGCGGGAGCGGCGGACGGGGGAGAGACAUGUGUAGAACCGACCUAUAUGGUGGGGGAAACCGUGGGGAACGGGAGGCAAAACCGGAAAAUAUAUUGAGCCGGAUGGUUGAAGAGCUAAAGACGGUUUUGUUGUCACGUGGAGAUGGACCGGCGCCGCAUUAGCUAGUUGGUAAGGUAACGGCUUACCAAGGCAACGAUGCGUAGCCGACCUGAGAGGAUGAUCCGCCACACUGGGACUGAGACACGGUCCAGACUCCUACGGGAGGCAGCAGUAGGGAAUCUUCGGCAAUGGGCGCAAGCCUGAUGCAGCCACGCCGCGUGAGUGAUGAAGGCCUUCGGGUUGUAAAGCUCUGUCGGUAGGGAAGAACACACGCCCACUUAACCAUGGAGUUCAUGACGGUACCUGCUCAGAAAGCAACGGCUAACUACGUG